GUGAGGUGGUAAACAGAGGAGUUGGCCCUGCCCUGUUCCGUCUUCGCUGCCGGUCUCAGCCGCCCCGUGCACAGCCGGAGCUUAGGUCCAGGGCUUUUUACAUUUCGUCUGAAAUCGUAGUGGGUUUUCGAGAUGUUUUGUCUCAGAAGCCAAACCCUUCUCUGUGACCUUGCCUGCCCCUCCAGUCCCUCUCUGCCCGGACCUGCACUCAGGAGAGCCUAGUCCUAGACCCACAUUUCACAAUUCAGCACUUGUGGUUAACCUGCACCCCAGAAUGCCUUUCCCAAGCCCGGCACAGAGCUAAUCCUGCAACCCCUGGAAGGCAGCUCAGGCCCCUCCAAAACUCCGUUGAUGGUGCUUGCCUCCCUGUCAGAAGCUGCAAGAAAGAGGGGAAUGAGCUAAUGUCAAAAAUACCUCUUCCCUGGCCGUGUCUGAAGUUAGUUGCUGAGACCAGUGUUCUGCUUUGGAAGUUAAGUGCUCUGACUAAAACUGGGGUUGAGGUAAUCUGGAAAGUAAAGGUCAAAUUAACGGAUGUUGAGAGUUUUGUAGGAGAAAUUACUGGCUAACUGGGA
This 572-nucleotide long non-coding RNA is filed under the name Heterocephalus glaber (naked mole-rat). RNAcentral describes it as "lncRNA (ENSHGLG00100049265.1)". The record is from RNAcentral. Lineage: Eukaryota; Metazoa; Chordata; Mammalia; Rodentia; Bathyergidae.